This 567-nucleotide ribosomal RNA is filed under the name uncultured bacterium. Its description in RNAcentral is "bacterial SSU rRNA". It matches the Rfam family "Bacterial small subunit ribosomal RNA", at positions 334 to 917 of the family's 1533-position model. The record is from RNAcentral.
UACUCCUACGGGAGGCAGCAGUGGGGAAUAUUGGACAAUGGGGGCAACCCUGAUCCAGCAAUUCUGUGUGCACGAUGAAGGUCUUCGGAUUGUAAAGUGCUUUCAGCAGGGAAGAAAAAAAUGACGGUACCUGCAGAAGAAGCGACGGCUAAAUACGUGCCAGCAGCCGCGGUAAUACGUAUGUCGCGAGCGUUAUCCGGAAUUAUUGGGCAUAAAGGGCAUCUAGGCGGCCCUGUAAGUCUAGGGUGAAAACCUGCGGCUCAACCGCAGGCCUGCCCCGGAAACUACAGGGCUAGAGUGCUGGAGAGGUGGACGGAACUGCACGAGUAGAGGUGAAAUUCGUAGAUAUGUGCAGGAAUGCCGAUGAUGAAGAUAGUUCACUGGACGGCAACUGACGCUGAAGUGCGAAAGCUAGGGGAGCAAACAGGAUUAGAUACCCUGGUAGUCCUAGCUGUAAACGAUGAUUACUGGGUGUGGGCAUGAAGAGUGUCCGUGCCGAAGCUAAUGCGAUAAGUAAUCCGCCUGGGGAGUACGGCCGCAAGGCUGAAACUCAAAGGAAUUGACGGA